Molecule: ribosomal RNA, 520 nt
Filed under: uncultured Glomus
Lineage: Eukaryota; Fungi; Glomeromycota; Glomeromycetes; Glomerales; Glomeraceae
Description: SSU rRNA
Rfam family: Eukaryotic small subunit ribosomal RNA
Source: RNAcentral
AGCAGCCGCGGUAAUUCCAGCUCCAAUAGCGUAUAUUAAAGUUGUUGCAGUUAAAAAGCUCGUAGUUGAAUUUCGGGAUCAGUUGAUCGGUCGUGCCUCGGUACGUACUGGUCAAAUUGAUUCCUACCUUCUGACGAACCACGAUGUCAUUAAUUUGGUGUCGUGGGAAAUCAGGACUGUUACUUUGAAAAAAUUAGAGUGUUUAAAGCAGGCUCACGCUUGAAUACAUUAGCAUGGAAUAAUGAAAUAGGACGUUUGAUUCUAUUUUGUUGGUUUCUAGGAUCGACGUAAUGAUUAAUAGGGAUAGUUGGGGGCAUUAGUAUUCAAUUGUCAGAGGUGAAAUUCUUGGAUUUAUUGAAGACUAACUACUGCGAAAGCAUUUGCCAAGGAUGUUUUCAUUAAUCAAGAACGAAAGUUAGGGGAUCGAAGACGAUCAGAUACCGUCGUAGUCUUAACCAUAAACUAUGCCGACUAGGGAUCGGAUGAUGUUAAUUUUUUAAUGACUCAUUCGGCGCCUUAC